This is a long non-coding RNA of Drosophila hydei, 561 nucleotides long. RefSeq lists it as uncharacterized. The transcript has 3 exons. The record is from RefSeq and is a predicted model, not a curated record. Lineage: Eukaryota; Metazoa; Arthropoda; Insecta; Diptera; Drosophilidae.
GCUAUGUUGUCGCGUCGCGAAUCGGUUCCCUUCCAGAUGGAGUUGUUUUAUUUAUCAAUAAUUGUGGUGUGUCUGUUUCUUCACUUUACGGCCAAGAUUUUCAAGUGCGUGGGCAAUGAUCUGAAUUUCUUUUUUGGUUUGUUAAUAUACCUAUUCAAAAUGUCAUUUAAAAUAUUUAAAUCACUAUUCAACCUAUUACGCUCAGUCAGAAAUGCAAAUUAAAAUUCAACGUGUCAAACACAAUAAAAAUAGUGAAACAUAUAGGAAUAAUUCAAAUUGGAAAACAAAUUAAUUACCCUCUUUAGUGCAAUAAAGUUAAGGAGUUGUCUUUAAAGCUCUAUCAAUGACUUAAGAUGCCCAGCUUGAACAGAGGUUUUCUGGAGGAUAACAUGACUAAUCUGGAUCUAUUCAGCACGUCUUCGAAGUCAAGCGUAAGCAUUCUUUAUGGGGUCUGGCCAGCCUUCAUCUGCAUGUAACAAACAUAACAUAAAAAUUCUUUACAUUGUAUUCUGAUUAUCAAUCAACAACAAAAAAGACAGAAAUUAAAUAAUUCAAAAAUAA